Molecule: ribosomal RNA, 403 nt
Filed under: Verrucomicrobiota bacterium
Lineage: Bacteria; Pseudomonadati; Verrucomicrobiota
Description: Verrucomicrobia bacterium partial 16S ribosomal RNA
Rfam family: Bacterial small subunit ribosomal RNA
Source: RNAcentral
UGGGGAAUAUUGCACAAUGGGCGCAAGCCUGAUGCAGCAACGCCGCGUGAACGAUGAAGGUCUUCGGAUCGUAAAGCUCUGUUGCAGGGGAAGAUAAUGACGGUACCCUGUGAGGAAGCCCCGGCUAACUACGUGCCAGCAGCCGCGGUAAUACGUAGGGGGCUAGCGUUAUCCGGAUUUACUGGGCGUAAAGGGUGCGUAGGUGGUCUUUCAAGUCGGUGGUUAAAGACUACGGCUCAACCGUAGUUAGCCUCCGAAACUGGAAGACUUGGGUGCAGGAGAGGAAAGUGGAAUUCCCAGUGUAGCGGUGAAAUGCGUAGAUAUUGGGAGGAACACCAGUAGCGAAGGCGGCUUUCUGGACUGCAACUGACACUGAGGCACGAAAGCGUGGGUAGCAAACAGG